CUUACGGGAGGCAGCAGUAGGGAAUCUUCCGCAAUGGACGAAAGUCUGACGGAGCAACGCCGCGUGAGUGAUGAAGGUCUGUUCGGAUCUGUAAAGCUCUGUUGUUAGGGAAGAACAAGUGCUGGAGUAUACUGCCUGGUACCUUGACGGUACCUAACCAGAAAGCCACGGCUAACUACAUGCCAGCAGCCGCGGUAAU
RNAcentral lists this ribosomal RNA (199 nucleotides) under uncultured bacterium. RNAcentral's name for it is "partial 16S ribosomal RNA". It matches the Rfam family "Bacterial small subunit ribosomal RNA", at positions 338 to 524 of the family's 1533-position model. The record is from RNAcentral.